Non-coding RNA from Peromyscus maniculatus bairdii (prairie deer mouse), 1329 nucleotides. The record is from RefSeq and is a predicted model, not a curated record. Lineage: Eukaryota; Metazoa; Chordata; Mammalia; Rodentia; Cricetidae.
UGGAUGUAGGUUCUAUGAUGACAAUUAGGGUAGACACCAAUCUGAGUGCAGGGGAAGUUCAGCUCAGGCACCCCCUCCACCAUUGCUGUAAGUCUUUCGCUAGUGACUUUUGAUCAUGACCCCUGUCGUCUUCUCAAGUAUUCAAAGGCCAGUGCAAACCAAACUCUUAAUCCACAUCCAAUUCAAAGUGAGGUCUUUCUCUACCUAGCUUCCACCUCAGAUUUAGCCUGUGGCUUAGGGAUUCUGUUCAUGGUGUUCUGACUACAUACCUUCCUGGCAGCCUCAAGAACUCAGCAGCUGAGUUUCCUAUCGGAGUGUGUAUCUAGCUCAUCACAUAGCAGAUUCUCACAUUGCCUCCAGUCUCAUCCUUGAUGUCUCUCCUCAGAAGGAGUGAGCCCGACCACUCUGAAGGGUGUCUUUGUCCCAGUUUCUAGCAUGUGGAAUCCCUUGAAAUUAUUUUAACAUUUAUUGUUUAAAAAUUUUACACACGCAUAUGUGUUUUGAUCAAAUCUGCUCCAAGUCCCUCCCUCCAAUUCCUCUUCUGUCUUCCACCUGCCCUUGCAUCCCAAUUUCUUAUGUUUUUUUUUUUUUUUUAAAACCACUUAGCCUGCUUAGUACAGGUGUAUGGUGUAGGGCUGCUUCCUGGGGGUGAUGAACUCACAGCUGCUGGGACUGCAGGCACAAGAUCUGCGUAAGAUCAAGCUAGUCCAGAUCCCAGCAGGCAUCAGGGAGGGACUCGGGAAGUCUCACUCACCUUUAGCUGAGGAAUUAUUGGCAAUUUAAAGAUGCUUAAGGAGGAAGAGUCAGUUUUCUUCUGGGAGGCAUCCCCUAAGAGGCUACCUGGGUCUUGACUAUGUUCCUCUGAAGGGACUGAACUAGGGGAAUAGUAGGGGCAACUUGGAUGCUGGCUUAGGAGGAUGCAUUCUGUGUCUUCAGUAAGAUGCUGUAAGAAGAGAUCAAACCAGGGGACAUCCCUCCAUCCAUGUGCCUCAGCUAAAGGAUCACCCUGACAGCGCGGGAGUUCAGUGCCCUGAAAUGUCGCAACUUUGUACACCGUGCCUGACGUUAGUCAACAGAGCCAGCUAAUUUCACCAGAGGAUCGGAGUCCAGGAAUACCUUCUUACGUUACCUUGGGUUUCCCCUAAUUAAGAAUCUUUUCCUUUCCCAAAGGAGAAUGGGAGAGAUCUUGGACUUAAGUAAAGGUAGAACUCAUAAUGUGCUUUUCUCACAGAAAAAGUCACAAAUGGACGAAGGGGGUUAUCCAUUUAAGUGGGGUCUGUGUGGUAUCUAGUACUGUUUAGACAGGGAAUGCUGUUAAAAUGGAGGAUA